AGGCGUUCCUCUGCUUGUGGCCUUCAGCUCUAAUGAAACGUCGGUCUGGUGCAUCACCAGUUUCCACCACGGACCUUAAACCAGGUUCUGGACUCUGUGUUCUGGAGUAAAGUCCUGCUGAAAAAUUAAAUCUGCAUCUCUAUAAAGUUGGUCAGCAGCAGGAAGUGCUGGUAGGUGCAUUGACCUUUGACCUCACAAAUCACAGUGGACCAACAGCAGCAGACGACAUGGCACCAAACUAUGGUUGACUGUGGAAACUUUGACUAGACCUCAAGCAACAUGGAUUCUGCUGCUCUGCUCUUCCUCCAGACUCUGAGAGGAAAUAAAAAUUCACUUCAACCAGAGAACAGAGCAGUUUGUGUUCAGUCCAGGGUUUCCUUCCCUUCACCUCAGUGUCUGAACUCUGAACUCUGAACUCUGAACUCUGAACGGCUUCUUAAGCAAAGGUCGUCUUCUGGACGGCCGUCAGGUCAGCGGUCAUGUGACCUGCAGAUCUGAACUGAGAGACAAUUUAAAGCAUCUGCAGGUUUUAAUAGAAACAUCCACACUAAUCAGGUGAUUAUCUGAUUAGUGUGGAGCACCAGAGAUUUUCAAUAUUGAAUCUUUCCACAAUAUUCUAAUUUUGUGAGACACUGAAUUUGUAGUUUUCAUUAGUUAUGAGUUAUAAUCAUCAACACUAAAAGAAAAAAA
Xiphophorus couchianus (Monterrey platyfish) is the source of this 690-nucleotide long non-coding RNA. RefSeq lists it as uncharacterized. The record is from RefSeq and is a predicted model, not a curated record. The transcript is spliced from 2 exons. Lineage: Eukaryota; Metazoa; Chordata; Actinopteri; Cyprinodontiformes; Poeciliidae.